GCCGGGCAUGGUGGCGGGUGCCUGUAAUCCCAGCUACUUGGGAGGCUGAGGCAGGAGAAUUGCUUGAACCCAGGAGGUGGAGGUUGCAGUGAGCUGAGAUCGCGCCACUGCACUCCAGCCUGGGUGACAAAGCAAGACCGUCUCAA
Molecule: unclassified non-coding RNA, 146 nt
Organism: Macaca mulatta (Rhesus monkey)
Lineage: Eukaryota; Metazoa; Chordata; Mammalia; Primates; Cercopithecidae
Rfam family: Metazoan signal recognition particle RNA
About the family: The signal recognition particle (SRP) is a universally conserved ribonucleoprotein.
Source: Ensembl